CGCUGAAAUGCAAGGAAAAUAGGGGAAGAACAAUCUUACAAAGUUCUAACUCUCACUUGAUCUUCAAACCACUAUAAUUUUUUACCCGGAGCUCCAAUUUCUGCAUCGUUUGCGGCCACGCGUUCACCGCGAAGAGCUCUAUAAAACCCACUACUUUGUUCUUGAGGAUCCAACUAGCUUGAAGGAGAGGCUUAAUAUUAUCUCCUUCAUCUUUGGGUAUGGUAGUGUGUAUGUGAAUAUUGAAGCUUGAUUGAGGUCUUGGAGAGCUUAGAAUAAACUUUUGUGUGCUAAAAAUCUGUUCUUGGAGGUGUUGAAGCUUUGAGAGCUUGUGGAAAAGUGAUUUGGAGGUGUUCCAGGUUAGGCGGGAAAGCGGCUAAGGUGAAAGCAGUGGCUAGCCACCACGUGUUCCAGGUGGAGACUCGAUACUCUACUGACCCUAUGUCGUAAGUGUGGCCUGACACUGUGAAAGUUUCGG
Molecule: long non-coding RNA, 475 nt
Organism: Arachis stenosperma
Lineage: Eukaryota; Viridiplantae; Streptophyta; Magnoliopsida; Fabales; Fabaceae
Exons: 4
Source: RefSeq, a predicted model, not a curated record